Ribosomal RNA from Lepisosteus oculatus (spotted gar), 119 nucleotides. The record is from Ensembl. NCBI's taxonomy places the organism in Eukaryota, Metazoa, Chordata, Actinopteri, Semionotiformes, Lepisosteidae.
GCCAGCAGCCAUAUCACUCUGCAACUCACAACUGGCAACCCACUGAAGCUCAGCAGGUGUGAGCCUGGUCAGUACCUGGAUGGGAGGCCUCCUGGGAAAAACUAAGGUUGCUGCUGGAA